UUCUGCACCGUAAGGUGGUACAGGAACAAGUGCUGGGCAAGACCGGUGCCAGCCGCCGCGGUAAUACCGGCAGCACGAGUGAUGGCCGCUAUUAUUGGGCCUAAAGCGUCCGUAGCCGGCCGGUCAAGUUCGUCGGGAAAUCUGCCCGCUUAACGGGCAGGCGUCCGGCGAAAACUGAUCGGCUUGGGGCCAGAAGACCUGAGGGGUACGUCCGGGGUAGGAGUGAAAUCCCGUAAUCCUGGACGGACCACCGGUGGCGAAAGCGCCUCAGGAAGAUGGACCCGACGGUGAGGGACGAAAGCUAGGGUCUCGAACCGGAUUAGAUACCCGGGUAGUCCUAGCCGUAAACGAUGCUCACUAGGUGUGGCGCAGGCUACGAGCCUGCGCUGUGCCGUAGGGAAGCCGUGAAGUGAGCCGCCUGGGAAGUACGUCCGCAAGGAUGAAACUUAAAGGAAUUGGCGGGGGAGCACUACAACCGGAGGAGCCUGCGGUUUAAUUGGACUCAACGCCGGACAUCUCACCAGCACCGACAGUAGUUGUGACGGUCAGGUUGAUGACCUUACCCGAGCUACUGAGAGGAGGUGCAUGGCCGCCGUCAGCUCGUACCGUGAGGCGUCCUGUUAAGUCAGGCAACGAGCGAGACCCGCACUCCUAGUUGCCAGCAGCAUCUCGCGAUGGCUGGGUACACUAGGAGGACUGCCGCUGCCAAAGCGGAGGAAGGAACGGGCAACGGUAGGUCAGUAUGCCCCGAAUGUGCUGGGCAACACGCGGGCUACAAUGGCCGGGACAAUGGGAAGCCACCCCGAGAGGGGGCGCUAAUCUCCCAAACCCGGUCGUAGUUCGGAUUGCGGGCUGCAACUCGCCCGCAU
RNAcentral lists this ribosomal RNA (869 nucleotides) under uncultured Halobacteria archaeon. RNAcentral's name for it is "bacterial SSU rRNA". It matches the Rfam family "Archaeal small subunit ribosomal RNA", at positions 408 to 1277 of the family's 1478-position model. Lineage: Archaea; Methanobacteriati; Methanobacteriota; Halobacteria. The record is from RNAcentral.